Molecule: transfer RNA, 77 nt
Filed under: Marinitoga okinawensis
Lineage: Bacteria; Thermotogati; Thermotogota; Thermotogae; Petrotogales; Petrotogaceae
Also listed under: 12 other names
Description: tRNA-Arg
Rfam family: tRNA
About the family: Transfer RNA (tRNA) molecules are approximately 80 nucleotides in length. Their secondary structure includes four short double-helical elements and three loops (D, anti-codon, and T loops).
Source: RNAcentral
GUGCCCGUAGCUCAAUUGGAUAGAGCAUUGGACUGCGGAUCCAAAGGUUGCUGGUUCAAAUCCAGUCGGGCACGCCA